GGACCACACUGAUUAGGUGUGCGGCUGCAUGGGCUUUUGCCCUGAAUGACCGAGUUUCUGACACUCUUGGGCGCGGACCACGUGGAAAGGAGUGCGGACCGCGCAUCUUGACUUGAAAAUUGCAUGGUCUCUGAACUAUCCAGCGCGGCCGUGUGGCAAAGCAGUGCAGACCGCGCAGGUUGACCUAGAAAUUGCCCAGCCUCUGAACUCUCCUGUGCGGCCGCGUGAUAAAUCAGUACGGACCGCACAUGUCAUUUUGUUCCCUACUUCAGUUGUCUUUUGACACUUGGCAGAUUUCACUCCUUUUUGAGCCGAUCUUUGGUAUUUGUCAUCUUGUCACUCAAACCUGCAAUCAAGCGCAACUUGUAAGCAUUUUGGGACUAAUUUAUGGAGUUAAUGCACAAAGUUUGGGUAAGAAUGGGUAUAAAACAUGUAGAAAUCACAGUUAUCACGGUCCUUAAGCCGCUUUUGCGAUCGCGCUUCUACGCGCUUCAACCACAUCUGCGGCAGGUGCGUCCAAGCACCCGCACCUACGAUCCUCACUCCCAGCUCCUUUUCUCGCUUUUGCGAUGACACUACCACUUUUGCAGCUCCUCACCUGCACCCAACGCUCCGCAGGUGCGGUUAUACCAGAACCAAAAAAUCUUCAGCAAUGCAACAUGGAAUAAAAAUGAUCCGAACCUCGUUCAAAACUCACCCGAGCUACUCGGUGUCACACCUCCUUUUUCCUACCCUUGGAAGGGUAUAAGGGAGUUUUUUCAAAUUUAAGUGACAAUCAAAACGGGAUUUAUUAAAAGAUUCAGAGUCGCCACUUGGGAAAUUCAUGGCAUCCCAAGUCACCGGUUCAAAUCCCGAAUCGAGGAAAAGAUUGACACUGUAUUACAAUCUGCGAACACAGAAAUCCAGGUAAGGAAUUCUGUUAACCCGGGAGAAGGUAUUAGGCAUUCCCGGAUUUUGUGGUUCUAGCACGGUCGCUCAACUAUUAUUAUUGGCCUAAUUAUCUGAUUUAAUUAUACGUUUAAAACCUAUUGUGCAUUUUUAGCUUUAGAACCACUUUUAAUUAAGUUAAAUCGCUUUUCAGGAAGAUUCAACGUCAUUUAAAACACGCCUUGAACCACGCCACAUGAAAGUCUAUAACAUAUUUUAUUUAACGUUAUUGGGAAUUGGAGUUGGGUCACAUGAAAUGCACACCCGAGUUUAGGAAGGUAACUUUUUAAAAUAACGCGCCUAAAACAACUACGCACUUUCAAGUUUGCGAGGGCCAUGGAAAUUCAACUAGGUGGCACACCUCGAUUCUAAUUUCAAGGGAUUGUACUCAACUAAAUCAAGGCCGAGAGUUUAUGGAAUAUAAUAGGAGAUAACACUAAGUUUUAUCAAAGUGAUGUACUAGAAUACUGAUAACGUAAUAAAGAACAAUGUAGCUUCGAGUUCAAAUAUUUAGGAAUAGUAAAGCAGCAGGAAGAAAUCAAAGUAGUUAUUCAAUGUAUACUAGUAGUAGUGUAGGUGACAAAAAUAAAGAAAUUUAACAGUGAUCCUAAGGUUACAAGAGCUUGAGUUCGUCAACAAAACCAACUAUUAAAUACAAAUUGGUCACUAACCUUAACAAAAACAGAAAACACACACUGUCAGUUAGAGCAAAUUGGAAAAUAUUAGAGCUAAUAAAUUUACCUGCCGGUCUUGGUCUGAAUUGGCCUAGCAGUAUUAUCAAAUCAAAGCAACAACAGAAACUAAUACAUAAUCUUAACUCACACAUAUUACAUUCAGGCGAUUUCAACCAACUUUAAUUUAUUAAACAACCUAAAUAAAUCUAUCCAAGCAAACAGAAAUUGAAAUUUAGUUUUUGCCUUCAAAAUUCAUCAAGUGAAAUACACCAGGACACUUCCAAUUUCAAUACAAUCAUGUCGUGCUAUUAUACUUAACAUGCUCUGAAGUUACAAAGAAGGUCGUAGGUAAAAUAUCUGGAAUAAUGAAAGAGAACCGAAAUUUUGACCAAAUAAAGAUCAGAAAACUGUAAAUGGAGCUCAGUUAUUAACAAACAAACAUCAAUACAACCUCAACCUUGAGCGAAACCCAUUUUGAAAACCCAGAAAUAUGAAUGAGAGAACUUGCCAUUUGAUGGGAAACAACACUGCUUCUUUUAUGUAAAUUUUGAGCAAGGAUCGACAUAAAAAUGAUUUGUAUUCUAUAUGUUCUUUUCAGGUUUGAGACUGCAGAUUUACCAAUUCAAUGAGGGUCUUCUUUUCUCAAUUUUUCCUUUAGUAGGUGCGGUAGCUUCAUGGGUGUAGGAAAGGGUCUGUUCUUUGAGAGAAUUGGGGGUGAUGGCUCCUAAAAGUUUUCUGGUUUCUUAAGAAGACGAGAGCGCCAUUUUUGUUGUCAAGAGGCCUCAAUAUGGAAAAAUCUGAUCUCUCUUUAGUGUG
Molecule: long non-coding RNA, 2417 nt
Filed under: Nicotiana tabacum (common tobacco)
Lineage: Eukaryota; Viridiplantae; Streptophyta; Magnoliopsida; Solanales; Solanaceae
Description: long non-coding RNA (NTAB_LNC004150)
Source: RNAcentral